Molecule: long non-coding RNA, 872 nt
Organism: Coffea arabica (coffee)
Lineage: Eukaryota; Viridiplantae; Streptophyta; Magnoliopsida; Gentianales; Rubiaceae
Source: RefSeq, a predicted model, not a curated record
UUCUGGCUCCGCCCCUGGGGACCAAAGAAAAGAAAUGUCACAAAAUAAGAAGUCUUGAAGAAACUUCUUCCUCCCGUAGUCCCUCUUCAACAUGGAGAUUGGAUGAAGCUCAUCACCUACUAGAGCUCCACCCUAACUCGAUUGAUAUCUUCCACGACCAUGAGCUUAAGCUUCAUUAGACGGUAACGGUAAAUGGCAUUGACUUCAAUCUGAAGGGGAUGAAUAUUAGGAGGAGCCGAAAUUAGUGAGGUGAAGCAGUGGAGGUUGCAGAUGAUAAUGUAAAGUUUCAUCAGUUGCAUUGCUAUUAUUUGAGGAUUUGCAAUUGUGAAGGUAUUUCAGAGCACAGAUGAGAGCUGGGUUGCUGUCUUGUGAUUGGGGAAGUAAUAAAAAUUUAGGAAAAUGUAGGAGGAUAGCUCAAUUUGUUGGACACUGGACUCCUACAUUGGCGCAAUAGAGGCAACGCCGCUGGAGUGGGCAAGUGAAUGAAUGAAACUGCCUUGCUACUUUUUUUUUCCUUGAGAAUAUCACAUAAUUCACGCUGCCUUCUUGCUUUCUUGUUUGGAAGACGAAGAAAAAGAAAUUUAAACAGUGACAGCUUUUGAGAAUUUGAGUCAUGGUUGUGUAAAAGCUUACAUUGCUGGGCUAUUGUCAUUGUUCUUGAGUAUAUAUAAUCACUGUCCAAAACAAUCUGACAUGUCACAAUGCUUAAGAAUCUUUGCUUGUUGUCCUUAAAAAGCAACAAUGUAGUUUUAGUUGGUAAUGUUGGGCACCUGUUUUCUUCGUUUUUUGGAGAGAUUUACAACUCGAAUGAAUUUGAGAUUAACACUAGCUAUUGCUAAUCAAUAUUCAAUACCAAAUACUAGAAUUUUGAU